AUCGGACUGCUAGGAUUCUAGAUGCCGAACGUAUGGCUAAGAGUCAAUUUGGAAACGAGUGGUUGGGACUAAACGCCAGGAAGAUCGAACGGCUAGGAGAACUGACUGUCCCGAUUUGCGGAGUAGAGAGAUCCAACGGCCUAGAUUUCGCUCGGAUUAAAAGUAUGAAAUUAUUAUUAGUGAGGUUUGAUCCUACGGUCCUUCUAUUGCCAUGCACACAAAGAUUGGACGACUAUGAAAUUUAGGGGUAAGUAUGAAUAGAGUGGUCUGUUACCCCCUAUCGGGUAGAAGUGU
This 294-nucleotide long non-coding RNA is filed under the name Carica papaya (papaya). RNAcentral's name for it is "long non-coding RNA (CPAP_LNC004085)". The record is from RNAcentral. Lineage: Eukaryota; Viridiplantae; Streptophyta; Magnoliopsida; Brassicales; Caricaceae.